This 207-nucleotide ribosomal RNA is filed under the name Acinetobacter sp. SNCK3. RNAcentral describes it as "partial 16S ribosomal RNA". It matches the Rfam family "Bacterial small subunit ribosomal RNA", at positions 102 to 310 of the family's 1533-position model. The record is from RNAcentral. Lineage: Bacteria; Pseudomonadati; Pseudomonadota; Gammaproteobacteria; Moraxellales; Moraxellaceae.
ACGGGUGAUUAAUGCUUAGGAAUCUGCCUAUUAGUGGGGGACAACAUCUCGAAAGGGAUGCUAAUACCGCAUACGUCCUACGGGAGAAAGCAGGGGAUCACUUGUGACCUUGCGCUAAUAGAUGAGCCUAAUUCGGAUUAGCUACUUGGUGGGGUAAAGGCCUACCUUGGCGACAAUCUGUAGCGGGUCUGAUAGGAUGAUCCGCCA